AUUGAACGCUGGCGGCAGGCCUAACACAUGCAAGUCGAACGGUAACAGGAAGAAGCUUGCUUCUUUGCUGACGAGUGGCGGACGGGUGAGUAAUGUCUGGGAAACUGCCUGAUGGAGGGGGAUAACUACUGGAAACGGUAGCUAAUACCGCAUAACGUCGCAAGACCAAAGAGGGGGACCUUCGGGCCUCUUGCCAUCGGAUGUGCCCAGAUGGGAUUAGCUAGUAGGUGGGGUAACGGCUCACCUAGGCGACGAUCCCUCGCUGGUGUGAGAGGAGGACCAGCGACACUAGAGCUGGGACGCGGUCCAGACUCCUACGGGAGGCAGCAGUGGGGAAUAUUGCACAGUGGGCGGAAGCAUGAUGCAGCCAUGCCGCGUGUAUGAAGAAGGCCUUCGGGUUGUAAAGUACUUUCAGCGGGGAGGAAGGGAGUAAAGUUAAGACCUUUGCUCAUUGACGUUACCCGCAGAAGAAGCACCGGCUAACUCCGUG
Molecule: ribosomal RNA, 490 nt
Filed under: uncultured bacterium
Lineage: Bacteria
Description: partial 16S ribosomal RNA
Rfam family: Bacterial small subunit ribosomal RNA
Source: RNAcentral